CCUAGUCAAAACCCCAGUUGCUUUUCCCUUUCUCUUCUUUUUUCACUGACGGUGGCGGCGGCGGCGGGAGAAGCUUUCGUGUGGGUCAGCUGGCGCGCCUGCCCGCCGGCGAGCGACGGUGAGCUGUGCCGCCAGCCCUUCUCCUCCCCCCGUGCCUCCUCUCUCUUUCUCGGUGGAAGCAAGAGCCCCCGUCCGGCGUGGUGUGGCAUUUUCACGGCGGCGGCCUUGGCCUCUUGCCGGCGCACGCGUGCACCCAAAGGUACGCGCAUCGCCUUCAAGCGGUCAACUACGCCGCCCUUUUCCUGGCGUGGACCCACCUUGACGGCGACCGGUGGCAGCUGCAGGCACCACCACACGGGUAAGAACGUUCUUUUCUCUUUUAGGGUUAGGGUUUGCCUCUUUUUGAUUUCUUUCUUUUUCUUCUUUCUUUUUGUAGCCCGACGAGAUCUACGACCUAGAGAUGGCUCUGAUACCAUUGUUGAAUCUCUACGAAACGACUAGGUGUAGAUCGGCACGGGUAGAUAGGAAUUGCUGUGAAUAAUCUUGGUCCGGGAUUGAGAAAGAGAGAGAAUUACCUUCUCCUUGCGAUGACGAGGCUGACGAGGUAGACAUCGGGAUGAGAGCGACGGUGAACGGCUGAGCUGCUGGCGAGGCUUCCCGUUACCGCUGCGCUGACCUAGAUCGGGAGGGUUUUCGGUGGGGUGUGCGGCACGGCGACCAACCUCGUGUUGCUUGCCGCCGGCCCUCCACCUUUUUAUAUAGCGCAGUGUAACAGGGGCCUGCCAACCAAAGUGGGUUGGGCGCCCCCGAUCAGGGCGCGUCAAAUCUAGGCCCGGUGGGCUGUUGGGCCCACACGGCUGGGAGAUCACUCUAACACCAAG
This 881-nucleotide long non-coding RNA is filed under the name Brachypodium distachyon (stiff brome). RNAcentral's name for it is "long non-coding RNA (BDIS_LNC000814)". Lineage: Eukaryota; Viridiplantae; Streptophyta; Magnoliopsida; Poales; Poaceae. The record is from RNAcentral.